RNAcentral lists this ribosomal RNA (493 nucleotides) under uncultured bacterium. Its description in RNAcentral is "bacterial SSU rRNA". It matches the Rfam family "Bacterial small subunit ribosomal RNA", at positions 903 to 1397 of the family's 1533-position model. The record is from RNAcentral.
AAAUGAAUAGACGGGGCCCCGCACAAGCGGCGGAGCAUGCGGAUUAAUUCGAUGCAACGCGAAGAACCUUACCAAGGCUUGACAUGCAGGGAAAACUCAUAGAGAUAUGAGGUCCGUAAGGGUCCUGCGCAGGUGGUGCAUGGUUGUCGUCAGCUCGUGUCGUGAGAUGUUGGGUUAAGUCCCGCAACGAGCGCAACCCUCGUCUUAUGUUGCCAGCGGGUAAUGCCGGGGACUCAUAAGAGACUGCCGGGGUCAACUCGGAGGAAGGUGGGGAUGACGUCAAAUCAUCAUGCCCCUUAUGUCUUGGGCUUCACGCAUGCUACAAUGGCUGGUACAAAGGGCUGCGAGACCGCAAGGUGGAGCGAAUCCCAAAAAGCCAGUCUCAGUUCGGAUUGGGGUCUGCAACUCGACCCCAUGAAGUCGGAGUCGCUAGUAAUCGCAGAUCAGCAACGCUGCGGUGAAUACGUUCCCGGGGCUUGUACACACCGCCCGU